UACUCAGAAAGGUGCCAGUCACUUACACUACAUGUCACUGUGUCCUUUCUGCGUAGA
Molecule: microRNA precursor, 57 nt
Filed under: Homo sapiens (human)
Lineage: Eukaryota; Metazoa; Chordata; Mammalia; Primates; Hominidae
Source: RNAcentral